Molecule: ribosomal RNA, 429 nt
Filed under: Bacteroidota bacterium
Lineage: Bacteria; Pseudomonadati; Bacteroidota
Description: Bacteroidetes bacterium partial 16S ribosomal RNA
Rfam family: Bacterial small subunit ribosomal RNA
Source: RNAcentral
UAGGGAAUUUUCCGCAAUGGACGCAAGUCUGACGGAGCAACGCCGCGUGAGUGAAGAAGGAUUUCGGUUCGUAAAACUCUGUUGUUAGAGAAGAACAGCGCAUAGAGUAACUGUUAUGCGUGUGACGGUAUCUAACCAGAAAGCCACGGCUAACUACGUGCCAGCAGCCGCGGUAAUACGUAGGUGGCAAGCGUUGUCCGGAUUUAUUGGGCGUAAAGCGAGCGCAGGCGGUCAAUUAAGUCUGAUGUGAAAGCCCCCGGCUCAACCGGGGAGGGUCAUUGGAAACUGGUUGACUUGAGUGCAGAAGAGGAGAGUGGAAUUCCAUGUGUAGCGGUGAAAUGCGUAGAUAUAUGGAGGAACACCAGUGGCGAAGGCGACUCUCUGGUCUGUAACUGACGCUGAGGCUCGAAAGCGUGGGUAGCAAACAGG